This is a long non-coding RNA of Psammomys obesus (fat sand rat), 1136 nucleotides long. RefSeq lists it as uncharacterized. Lineage: Eukaryota; Metazoa; Chordata; Mammalia; Rodentia; Muridae. The transcript is spliced from 5 exons. The record is from RefSeq and is a predicted model, not a curated record.
CACCACACAGGCAGGGCACACCCGUCGGCCUGCAGGUUCCUGGGCAUCUCCUGUCGGCUCCUUCCCUGUGGGGGUGAAGAUUGCUGCUUAAGAAAAGACUCAGGAGUGAGAGCUCAAGGCUGGACAUGCCCUCACAAGAGGUAGAACCUCAGCCCUCUCUCUUCCUUCUCACAAUCAGUAAAGAACCCCAGCUUUCCACUGAGCUUUAGACCUGUAAGGAUUCUACGUGAUGUUGCUACAAUGUUCCUCCACGGUUGAAGGUAUUUCCCUGCGACUGUGUCUGAAUUGGGCCUUGGGUCUAUCAUUCUCAAACUGGUAACAAUACUGACAAGCUGGAAUCACCUACAUGCCUAGCAACUGGUAGAUUGUUCAGCUGCAUACAUCCACUAACCCAACAGAAUGCUUCCCAUUCUUUAUAGAAAAUAAAAAGACGUAAAUAUGGCUAAUCAUGGAAGCCAAGGCAGGAAUAUCAUGUGUUCAAGUUCAGCCCGGACUACAUAACACACUGUGGGCCAGCCUGGAGAGCUCAGUGAGCUCAUGUCACAGAAUGAAAAUAACACAGUGAUGGAGUCCAGUUGUAGAGUGCUUGCUUACGUAGCGAAAGCAAGGCCCUGGGACUGAUCUUCAGCAUCAGAACAAAAGAAGAGAGAAACUGCUGAUCACGUGUUCUGAUGUACCCAGGGAUUCCGACUCUGCUCUGUAGAUGGACACAUUCACAGUAGGAAGCUACACUGCCCUGUUCUGUGAACUGCAAAACAACCACAAAGCUGGCACAUGCAGCUCUGUUCGGAGGGUGUGCAGGGUUCAGGGACAAACUGUGAGACUGCUCCAGGUGUGUGCGACAAAUGACAGGGAGAACUCCUGGAGGUUGCAAACAGAGGGAAGAAAAGAUGUGAGUCUCAGACCCAUCUCAGGAGGCUGUACCAGAAUUGCCAUCACCUCCCUCCCCCCAGUGUCGUUCCUGUCCUGUAGGACCAGCCAUCAUCCCCCCCACACUGAGUGUUGCUCCUGUCCUGUGGGACCAGCAGUUAUCCUGGAGACAGGGGAUUCUGAUGAUGGGCCUAUGCUUUGGGCGGCUGUGUGACUGAGCAACUCUUGGCAAGUAUAGAAGGAAUGCUUUGAACACCUCAGCCUGG